GUCCCUUAGGUGACAUCUGAUAAAAUUGGAACGAUAUAGAGAAGAUUAGCAAGGACUUUGUGCAAGGAUGAUACUCACAAAUUGAGAAAUGGUCUAAAAUCUA
Molecule: small nuclear RNA, 103 nt
Organism: Trifolium pratense (red clover)
Lineage: Eukaryota; Viridiplantae; Streptophyta; Magnoliopsida; Fabales; Fabaceae
Source: RefSeq, a predicted model, not a curated record